Molecule: small nuclear RNA, 142 nt
Organism: Camelus dromedarius (Arabian camel)
Lineage: Eukaryota; Metazoa; Chordata; Mammalia; Artiodactyla; Camelidae
Gene: U4
Rfam family: U4 spliceosomal RNA
About the family: U4 small nuclear RNA (U4 snRNA) is a component of the major U2-dependent spliceosome. The structure of U4 snRNA from yeast and human has been reported.
Source: Ensembl
AGCUUUGCAAAGUGUCAGUACUGUCACCAGUGAGGUUUCUCCAAGGCAUGAUUAUUGAUUUUGGAAAACUUUUCCCAAUACCCCUGCCAUGAUGACUUGAAAUAUAGUCGGCAUUGGCAAUUUUUGACAGUCUCUGUAGAGA